GACGAACGCUGGCGGCGUGCCUAAUACAUGCAAGUCGAACGCUUUUUCUUUCACCGGAGCUUGCUCCACCGAAAGGAAAAGAGUGGCGAACGGGUGAGUAACACGUGGGUAACCUGCCCAUCAGAAGGGGAUAACACUUGGAAACAGGUGCUAAUACCGUAUAACACUAUUUUCCGCAUGGAAGAAAGUUGAAAGGCGCUUUUGCGUCACUGAUGGAUGGACCCGCGGUGCAUUAGCUAGUUGGUGAGGUAACGGCUCACCAAGGCAACGAUGCAUAGCCGACCUGAGAGAGUGAUCGGCCACACUGGGACUGGGACACGGCCCAGACUCCUACGGGAGGCAGCAGUAGGGAAUCUUCGGCAAUGGACGAAAGUCUGACCGAGCAACGCCGCGUGAGUGAAGAAGGUUUUCGGAUCGUAAAACUCUGUUGUUAGAGAAGAACAAGGAUGAGAGUAAAAUGUUCAUCCCUUGACGGUAUCUAACCAGAAAGCCACGGCUAACUACGUGCCAGCAGCAGCCGCCG
Molecule: ribosomal RNA, 523 nt
Filed under: uncultured bacterium
Lineage: Bacteria
Description: partial 16S ribosomal RNA
Rfam family: Bacterial small subunit ribosomal RNA
Source: RNAcentral